This is a long non-coding RNA of Solanum verrucosum, 200 nucleotides long. RefSeq lists it as uncharacterized. The transcript has 3 exons. Lineage: Eukaryota; Viridiplantae; Streptophyta; Magnoliopsida; Solanales; Solanaceae. The record is from RefSeq and is a predicted model, not a curated record.
CUGGUUCUUCAGUGUUUGUUUUCAACAUGGAUCGGGGCUCUCCUGUGUGGUCAGAGUGGUUAGUUUUUAACAGAGUCAAUGCUCGUGCUAGAAAAGGAUUGGUAUUAGGUCCUAUGCGACUUCUCCUAAGCUUCUCUGGUGGUCAUGUGGUCGGUAAUUUUCCGCCUCAUGAAGCAUUUGUACUUGGUGGAACCAAUAGU